RNAcentral lists this small RNA (98 nucleotides) under Sinorhizobium meliloti 2011. RNAcentral describes it as "putative ncRNA". The record is from RNAcentral. Lineage: Bacteria; Pseudomonadati; Pseudomonadota; Alphaproteobacteria; Hyphomicrobiales; Rhizobiaceae.
AUGCACCGUAUGGACACCUUGAAGCGAACCCCGUGGCGAGAUGCGGCACUUGACAUCGUCAUGUCUCAAACGAUCGCUCUCGGGGAGAUGAGUUCUCU